GUUUCAGGGCGAGGUGAAAUCCCUCACCGGCGGUGACCAGCUUGGUGCUGGAAGUCCGCGAACUCCAGAUAGGAGCCGAUUUGGUGCAAUUCCAAAACCGACGGUAUAGUCCGGAUGAAAGAAA
This 124-nucleotide non-coding RNA is filed under the name Candidatus Pararuminococcus gallinarum. RNAcentral's name for it is "FMN riboswitch (RFN element)". It matches the Rfam family "FMN riboswitch aptamer (RFN element)". From Rfam's summary of the family: The RFN element is a highly conserved domain that is found frequently in the 5'-untranslated regions of prokaryotic mRNAs that encode for flavin mononucleotide (FMN) biosynthesis and transport proteins. This element is a metabolite-dependent riboswitch that directly binds FMN in the absence of proteins. Lineage: Bacteria; Bacillati; Bacillota; Clostridia. The record is from RNAcentral.